RNAcentral lists this ribosomal RNA (253 nucleotides) under uncultured bacterium. RNAcentral's name for it is "partial 16S ribosomal RNA". It matches the Rfam family "Bacterial small subunit ribosomal RNA", at positions 524 to 776 of the family's 1533-position model. The record is from RNAcentral.
UACGGAGGGGGCUAGCGUUGUUCGGAAUUACUGGGCGUAAAGCGCACGUAGGCGGCUUUGUAAGUUAGAGGUGAAAGCCCAGGGCUUAACCCUGGAAUUGCCUUUAAGACUGCAUCGCUAGAAUCGUGGAGAGGUGAGUGGAAUUCCGAGUGUAGAGGUGAAAUGCGUAGAUAUCAGGAGGAACACCUGUGGUGUAGACAGCUUACUGGACCACUUCUGACGCUGAGACACGAAAGCGUGGGUAGCAAACAGG